Amaranthus tricolor (Joseph's coat) is the source of this 1701-nucleotide long non-coding RNA. RefSeq lists it as uncharacterized. Lineage: Eukaryota; Viridiplantae; Streptophyta; Magnoliopsida; Caryophyllales; Amaranthaceae. The transcript has 3 exons. The record is from RefSeq and is a predicted model, not a curated record.
CAUAUGGUUUUGGAAAACAGAGCUAAUCCUCAUACUACCAUAUGGUUUUGGAAAACAAUGAACCUCACCGAGUGUAUGUGCAAGUCAACGCUUUUGACCCGUGGGUUUGUGGGCCCCAGCCUAUGGGUGUCCCGUGUCCAUACGAGGUGAGAUUAUGUGAUGAAUUGUCACGGUCUAAUAUGAUAUCAGAGCCAAAGGUGGUUCCUGGUAUGUAAUAUUUGAGGAAUUUAAUACUUUGAAAUUGAAAAAUUUAUAAUAAAUAUUUGAACGAGGAUUAAUAUGGGUUGAGUGAAUAAAUAAUUGUGCAUGAUAAACUAAGAAACAUUUGCGCCUAAGUUUAUGACUAAUAAUAUUAUUAUAUAAAUCUCUUUUAAUUUUAUUAGUUCUUUCCUUUUCUUUUCUCUUUUCUUUUCUCUUUUCUUAUUUGAACGCCCAUUUCUAAUGACUAAACCAAAAAUCAGAAAAAUUGUUUUUCCUCAUUUCCUAUUCACCGUCUUCCUCAACACUAAUUUUUUUUCUCAAACCAUAAUUCCAUGAACUUCAAGAAUUGAAACAAUUGCUUCCCUUUUCAAACCAUUCGAACCCCUGCCACUCAUCCCUGUUCUCCUUCGCCUGAUUUCGAAGCACAACCCUAACCCUAUCUUCUUCAUCUGAUUUCGAAGCAACAAUGGCUUUAUUCAUUUGAUUUCGCUCCUUGUUUUUCUCUCUGCAAAUCUAAAUACCCUUUCAAUUUCUGAGUUUCGAAACCCAAAGCAGCCAGCUACUUUCUUCUCUUGAUGAAUCUCAUAUUCUACCUCGAAUUUUCGCAAGAGACACAACAGAUCUUCCUUCCAAGCCUUUGAUUCUGGCGCAAAAAGGAGCAGGAGGCGACCUAGUUGAGGAAUCCUUCUAAUCGAUAGCUGUGAUUUGGAUUCGACUUUUUGAAGUAUAUUUUGUGUUUGUUUACAGAUCGGAACCAGUCGGGAACGAUAGGUUAGCGAAGUUGAUUAGAGUUUUAAGGAUGUUAUAUUGAGCUGAGCAUGUUAGAAUUUUGUAGUUUUGUAUUAGGCUUUGGUAAUUGUAUAUUAGUUUAGACUGUAUUGGUUAUGUUGGACUUUUACAAAGACUUUUAUGAUUAUUUUAUGAAUUAGAUAGAUGUUUGGAUUGAGAAUUAGCUGAUUUAGCUAUGAUUUAGAACUAAAGUUUUAUUUGGACAAGUUUUGGGAUUGAGAAUUGAGUUUUUGAGAAGUAAACUCCGUGAUGACCCUAUUUACUCAGUCAACAGUAAGUUGGGUUGUUACAAUGAUGUGGCUCAUAUGUGAGGGGGAGUGCUAGAAAUACUUCACAUGUGAGAUAAGAUCCCACAUCGAUAAAAUAGUGGGUUGUGGACUUGCAUAUAUAUUGGAUGAGCUAAUCCUCCAACUACCAUAUGGUUUUGGGAAACAAUGAACCUCACUGAGUGUAUGUGCAAGUCAACGCUCUUGACCUGUGGGUUUGUGGGCCGAGCCCACGGGUGUCCCGUGUCCAAAUGAGUGGGCCACGGUGAGAUUAUGUGACGAAUUGUUACGGCCUAAUAAAAGCUUAUAGUCAAUAAAAAAAAUCUUUUUUUUCAAACACACCCAUAAUAUUUAGGGGUGUUUAAAAAUAUCUAAUUCAAAUUAUCUGAUUCGGAAUCUGAUUUUAAAAAUUGGAUAAUUUAUCCGAUUGUUAAACUAGAUACCG